Molecule: ribosomal RNA, 468 nt
Filed under: uncultured bacterium
Lineage: Bacteria
Description: partial 16S ribosomal RNA
Rfam family: Bacterial small subunit ribosomal RNA
Source: RNAcentral
GACGAACGCUGGCGGCGUGCUUAACACAUGCAAGUCGAACGGACAGGCCCUGCUUUUGUGUGGUGCUCGAGUGACGAACGGUUGAGUAACACGUGGUUAACCUGCCCUUAACUUUGGGGUAACUUCGGGAAACUAGGGCUAAUACCGGAUAAGAGCUCAUGAUACAUAUUGUUGGUUGGAAAGUGUCGGCGGUUGGGGAUGGAAUCGCGGCUUGUCGGCUUGUUGGUGGGGUAGUGUCUUACCAAGGCAUGGGCGGGCAGCCGGCCUGAGAGGGGGACCGGCCACAUUGGGCCUGAGAUACGGCCCAGAGUCCAACGUGAGGCAGCAGUGGGGAACAGUGCACAAGGGGCGGAAGCCGGAUGCAGCAACGUCGGGUGCGGGAGGACGGUUUUCGGGUAGUAAACCGCUUGCGCCUGGGACGAAGCGUGAGUGACGGUAACGGGUAAUGAAGCACCGGCUAACUACGUG